UACGAAGGGGGCUAGCGUUGUUCGGAAUUACUGGGCGUAAAGCGCGCGCAGGCGGUCUUCCAAGUCAGUGGUGAAAGCCCGGAGCUCAACUCCGGAACUGCCAUUGAAACUGUAAGACUUGAGGAUGAGAGAGGUGAGUGGAAUUCCCAGUGUAGAGGUGAAAUUCGUAGAUAUCUGGAGGAACACCGGUGGCGAAGGCGGCAUCCUGGACCGGCAUUGACGCUGAGGCGCGAAAGCCAGGGGAGCAAACGGG
This 253-nucleotide ribosomal RNA is filed under the name uncultured bacterium. Its description in RNAcentral is "partial 16S ribosomal RNA". It matches the Rfam family "Bacterial small subunit ribosomal RNA", at positions 524 to 776 of the family's 1533-position model. The record is from RNAcentral.